RNAcentral lists this ribosomal RNA (1394 nucleotides) under bacterium NLAE-zl-G401. RNAcentral's name for it is "16S ribosomal RNA". It matches the Rfam family "Bacterial small subunit ribosomal RNA". The record is from RNAcentral.
AGUCGAGGGGCAGCAUUUUAGUUUUGCUUGCAAACUAAAGAUGGCGACCGGCGCACGGGUGAGUAACACGUAUCCAACCUGCCGAUAACUCGGGGAUAGCCUUUCGAAAGAAAGAUUAAUAUCCGAUAGUAUAUUAAAACCGCAUGGUUUUACUAUUAAAGAAUUUCGGUUAUCGAUGGGGAUGCGUUCCAUUAGUUUGUUGGCGGGGUAACGGCCCACCAAGACUACGAUGGAUAGGGGUUCUGAGAGGAAGGUCCCCCACAUUGGAACUGAGACACGGUCCAAACUCCUACGGGAGGCAGCAGUGAGGAAUAUUGGUCAAUGGACGAGAGUCUGAACCAGCCAAGUAGCGUGAAGGAAGACUGCCCUAUGGGUUGUAAACUUCUUUUAUAUGGGAAUAAAGUAUUCCACGUGUGGGANUUUUGUAUGUACCAUAUGAAUAAGGAUCGGCUAACUCCGUGCCAGCAGCCGCGGUAAUACGGAGGAUCCGAGCGUUAUNCCGGAUUUAUUGGGGUUUAAAGGGAAGCGUAGGUGGAUUGUUAAGUCAGUUGUGAAAGUUUGCGGCUCAACCGUAAAAUUGCAGUUGAAACUGGCAGUCUUGAGUACAGUAGAGGUGGGCGGAAUUCGUGGUGUAGCGGUGAAAUGCUUAGAUAUCACGAAGAACUCCGAUUGCGAAGGCAGCUCACUAGACUGCAACUGACACUGAUGCUCGAAAGUGUGGGUAUCAAACAGGAUUAGAUACCCUGGUAGUCCACACAGUAAACGAUGAAUACUCGCUGUUUGCGAUAUACAGUAAGCGGCCAAGCGAAAGCAUUAAGUAUUCCACCUGGGGAGUACGCCGGCAACGGUGAAACUCAAAGGGAAUUGACGGGGGCCCGCACAAGCGGAGGAACAUGUGGUUUAAUUCGAUGAUACGCGAGGAACCUUACCCGGGCUUAAAUUGCAUUUGAAUAAUCUGGAAACAGGUUAGCCGCAAGGCAAAUGUGAAGGUGCUGCAUGGUUGUCGUCAGCUCGUGCCGUGAGGUGUCGGCUUAAGUGCCAUAACGAGCGCAACCCUUAUCUUUAGUUACUAACAGGUCAUGCUGAGGACUCUAGAGAGACUGCCGUCGUAAGAUGUGAGGAAGGUGGGGAUGACGUCAAAUCAGCACGGCCCUUACGUCCGGGGCUACACACGUGUUACAAUGGGGGGUACAGAAGGCAGCUACCUGGCGACAGGAUGCUAAUCCCAAAAACCUCUCUCAGUUCGGAUCGAAGUCUGCAACCCGACUUCGUGAAGCUGGAUUCGCUAGUAAUCGCGCAUCAGCCAUGGCGCGGUGAAUACGUUCCCGGGCCUUGUACACACCGCCCGUCAAGCCAUGAAAGCCGGGGGUACCUGAAGUACGAACCGCAAGGAG